UACAGAGGGGGCAAGCGUUGUUCGGAAUUACUGGGCGUAAAGGGCGCGUAGGCGGCCUGCUAAGUCGAACGUGAAAUCCCCGGGCUCAACCCGGGAACUGCGUCCGAGACUGGCGGGCUUGAAUCCGGGAGAGGGAUGCGGAAUUCCAGGUGUAGCGGUGAAAUGCGUAGAUAUCUGGAGGAACACCGGUGGCGAAGGCGGCAUCCUGGACCGGCAUUGACGCUGAGGCGCGAAAGCCAGGGGAGCAAACGGG
This 253-nucleotide ribosomal RNA is filed under the name uncultured bacterium. Its description in RNAcentral is "partial 16S ribosomal RNA". It matches the Rfam family "Bacterial small subunit ribosomal RNA", at positions 524 to 776 of the family's 1533-position model. The record is from RNAcentral.